UAACGCGAAGAACCUUACCAGGUCUUGACAUACUAUGCAAAUCUAAGAGAUUAGACGUUCCCUUCGGGGACAUGGAUACAGGUGGUGCAUGGUUGUCGUCAGCUCGUGUCGUGAGAUGUUGGGUUAAGUCCCACAACGAGCGCAACCCUUAUUAUCAGUUGCCAGCAUUAAGUUGGGCACUCUGGUGAGACUGCCGGUGACAAACCGGAGGAAGGUGGGGAUGACGUCAAAUCAUCAUGCCCCUUAUGACCUGGGCUACACACGUGCUACAAUGGAUGGUACAACGAGUUGCGAACUCGCGAGAGUAAGCUAAUCUCUUAAAGCCAUUCUCAGUUCGGAUUGUAGGCUGCAACUCGCCUACAUGAAGUCGGAAUCGCUAGUAAUCGCGGAUCAGC
This 395-nucleotide ribosomal RNA is filed under the name uncultured bacterium. RNAcentral describes it as "bacterial SSU rRNA". It matches the Rfam family "Bacterial small subunit ribosomal RNA", at positions 957 to 1353 of the family's 1533-position model. The record is from RNAcentral.